AUUGAACGCUGGCGGCAUGCUUUACACAUGCAAGUCGAACGGCAGCGGGGAGUAGCUUGCUUCUCUGCCGGCGAGUGGCGAACGGGUGAGUAAUACAUCGGAACGUGUCGAGAAGAGGGGGAUAACCACCCGAAAGGGUGGCUAAUACCGCAUAAAUUCUGAGGAAGAAAGCUGGGGACCUAGGAAUAGGCCUAGCGCUUUUUGAGCGGCCGAUGUCGGAUUAGCUAGUUGGUGAGGUAAAGGCUCACCAAGGCGAAGAUCUGUAGCGGGUCUGAGAGGAUGAUCCGCCACACUGGGACUGAGACACGGCCCAGACUCCUACGGGAGGCAGCAGUGGGGAAUUUUGGACAAUGGGGGCAACCCUGAUCCAGCCAUGCCGCGUGUAUGAAGAAGGCCUUAGGGUUGUAAAGUACUUUUGUUAGGGAAGAAAAGUCAGCUGUGAAUAAUGGCUGAUACUGACGGUACCUAAAGAAUAAGCACCGGCUAACUACGUG
Molecule: ribosomal RNA, 494 nt
Filed under: uncultured bacterium
Lineage: Bacteria
Description: partial 16S ribosomal RNA
Rfam family: Bacterial small subunit ribosomal RNA
Source: RNAcentral